RNAcentral lists this ribosomal RNA (253 nucleotides) under uncultured bacterium. RNAcentral describes it as "partial 16S ribosomal RNA". It matches the Rfam family "Bacterial small subunit ribosomal RNA", at positions 524 to 776 of the family's 1533-position model. The record is from RNAcentral.
UACGAAGGGGGCUAGCGUUGCUCGGAAUCACUGGGCGUAAAGGGUGCGUAGGCGGGUCUUUAAGUCAGGGGGGAAAUCCUGGAGCUCAACUCCAGAACUGCCUUUGAUACUGAGGAUCUUGAGUUCGGGAGAGGUGAGUGGAACUGCGAGUGUAGAGGUGAAAUUCGUAGAUAAUCGCAAGAACACCAGUGGCGAAGGCGGCUCACUGGCCCGAUACUGACGCUGAGGCACGAAAGCGUGGGUAGCAAACAGG